Astatotilapia calliptera (eastern happy) is the source of this 586-nucleotide long non-coding RNA. Lineage: Eukaryota; Metazoa; Chordata; Actinopteri; Cichliformes; Cichlidae. The record is from Ensembl.
UCGGAGGUGUGCAGAAAUUUGUUAGAGUAUCUGAGCCAAGCCUUAAGGAGUUUUUGAUUGCCGCAUUUGCAAAGUUUGGUGCGCCAGCCGUAACAGAAGGAGUGAAAGUUUUUGAUAGUUCAGGGACUGAGUUGGAUGAGGAUGUUUUUGAGGAUAUAGUAACAGAUCCCUCAACCGGGGUACUAACCAUCAAAUAUGAAACAGGUCUGGAAACAUCUGUUGCAGAAGUGUCUCCUGAGCGGUUCCAGUUAUCAUCGCCACAUUCAUCAGAUUCACAGGAUACGGUCAUCCUUUCAGACAGCCCUUUGAGGAAACGUCAGAAGCUGGAUGCAGAAGCUAAGCAAUUGGUGGAAUCCAUUCUCACAAGCAAACCUGGUGGAGAACGUAUAAUAAAUGAGUACAAUCGGACCAAGUCCCUGGUGGAUGAAACCAGAAGAAAAAUGGUCAACAUACUGGUAGCUGACAUGACAGAAAAAAAUGGGUAAUUUAUUUCUGGCCCUGUGAUUUUUACUAUCAUUUUCAAAUUAUUUUAAAUCUCUAUUAAUUCCAGCGAAGCUGACUAGUUCUUUUCCUUUUGAUCUUGCAG